Molecule: ribosomal RNA, 372 nt
Filed under: uncultured soil bacterium
Lineage: Bacteria
Description: bacterial SSU rRNA
Rfam family: Bacterial small subunit ribosomal RNA
Source: RNAcentral
AGAUUGAACGCUGGCGGCAUGCCUAACACAUGCAAGUCGAACGGGAGUAGCAAUACUCUAGUGGCGGACGGGUGAGGAAUACGUAGGAAUUUGCCCUUAAGUGGGGGAUAACCCGGGGAAACCCGGAUUAAUACCGCAUGACCUCGAAAGAGCAAAGUGGGGGAUCGCAAGACCUCACGCUUUUGGAGAAGCCUACGUCGGAUUAGCUAGUUGGUGAGGUAAUGGCUCACCAAGGCCGACGAUCCCGUAACUGGUCUGAGAGGAUGAUCAGUCACACCGGAACUGAGACACGGUCCGGACUCCGUACGGGAGGCAGCAGGUACGGGAAUAGUUGGAACAAGUGGGGCCGACGAACGGUCCUAGAUACCCGAG